GAUGAAUGCUGGCGGCGUGCCUAAUACAUGCAAGUCGAGCGAACAGACGAGGAGCUUGCUCCUCUGACGUUAGCGGCGGACGGGUGAGUAACACGUGGUUAACCUACCUAUAAGACUGGGAUAACUUCGGGAAACCGGAGCUAAUACCGGAUAAUAUAUUGAACCGCAUGGUUCAAUAGUGAAAGACGGUUUUGCUGUCACUUAUAGAUGGAUCCGCGCCGCAUUAGCUAGUUGGUAAGGUAACGGCUUACCAAGGCAACGAUGCGUAGCCGACCUGAGAGGGUGAUCGGCCACACUGGAACUGAGACACGGUCCAGACUCCUACGGGAGGCAGCAGUAGGGAAUCUUCCGCAAUGGGCGAAAGCCUGACGGAGCAACGCCGCGUGAGUGAUGAAGGUCUUCGGAUCGUAAAACUCUGUUAUUAGGGAAGAACAAAUGUGUAAGUAACUAUGCACGUCUUGACGGUACCUAAUCAGAAAGCCACGGCUAACUACGUG
Molecule: ribosomal RNA, 497 nt
Filed under: uncultured bacterium
Lineage: Bacteria
Description: partial 16S ribosomal RNA
Rfam family: Bacterial small subunit ribosomal RNA
Source: RNAcentral